Molecule: ribosomal RNA, 497 nt
Filed under: uncultured bacterium
Lineage: Bacteria
Description: partial 16S ribosomal RNA
Rfam family: Bacterial small subunit ribosomal RNA
Source: RNAcentral
GAUGAACGCUGGCGGCGUGCCUAAUACAUGCAAGUCCAGCGAACGGACGAGAAGCUUGCUUUUCUGAUGUUAGCGGCGGACGGGUGAGUAACACGUGGAUAACCUACCUAUAAGACUGGGAUAACUUCGGGAAACCGGAGCUAAUACCGGAUAAUAUUUUGAACCGCAUGGUUCAAAAGUGAAAGACGGUCUUGCUGUCACUUGUAGAUGGAUCCGCGCUGCAUUAGCUAGUUGGUAAGGUAACGGCUUACCAAGGCAACGAUGCAUAGCCGACCUGAGAGGGUGAUCGGCCGCACUGGAACUGAGACACGGUCCAGACUCCUACGGGAGGCAGCAGUAGGGAAUCUUCCGCAAUGGGCGAAAGCCUGACGGAGCAACGCCGCGUGAGUGAUGAAGGUCUUCGGAUCGUAAAACUCUGUUAUUAGGGAAGAACAUAUGUGUAAGUAACUGUGCACAUCUUGACGGUACCUAAUCAGAAAGCCACGGCUAACUACGUG